This 465-nucleotide ribosomal RNA is filed under the name uncultured bacterium. RNAcentral describes it as "bacterial SSU rRNA". It matches the Rfam family "Bacterial small subunit ribosomal RNA", at positions 28 to 491 of the family's 1533-position model. The record is from RNAcentral.
GAUGAACGCUGGCGGCGUGCUUAACACAUGCAAGUCGAACGAAACACCUUAUUUGAUUUUCUUCGGAACUGAAGAUUUGGUGAUUGAGUGGCGGACGGGUGAGUAACGCGUGGGUAACCUACCCUGUACAGGGGGAUAACAGUCAGAAAUGACUGCUAAUACCGCAUAAGACCACAGCACCGCAUGGUGCAGGGGUAAAAACUCCGGUGGUACAGGAUGGACCCGCGUCUGAUUAGCUGGUUGGUGAGGUAACGGCUCACCAAGGCGACGAUCAGUAGCCGGCUUGAGAGAGUGAACGGCCACAUUGGGACUGAGACACGGCCCAAACUCCUACGGGAGGCAGCAGUGGGGAAUAUUGCACAAUGGGGGAAACCCUGAUGCAGCGACGCCGCGUGAGUGAAGAAGUAUCUCGGUAUGUAAAGCUCUAUCAGCAGGGAAGAAAAUGACGGUACCUGACUAAGAAGC